Molecule: ribosomal RNA, 446 nt
Filed under: uncultured bacterium
Lineage: Bacteria
Description: partial 16S ribosomal RNA
Rfam family: Bacterial small subunit ribosomal RNA
Source: RNAcentral
CCUACGGUGUGCAGCAGUAGGGAAUUUUCGGCAAUGGGGGGAACCCUGACCGAGCAACGCCGCGUGAACGAAGAAGUUAUUCGUAAUGUAAAGUUCUUUUAACAGGGAAGAAAGAGAAAUUUGACGGUACCUGAAGAAUAAGCUCCGGUUAACUACGUGCCAGACGCCGAGGUACUACGUAGGGAGCGAGCGUUAUCCGGAAUUAUUGGGCGUAAAGGGUGCGUAGAUGGCAUAGUAAGUCUGUUGUAAAAAGGCUGGGCUCAACCCAGUAGGGCAAAAGAUACUGGAAAGCUAGAGUAUGAGAGAGGGAAGUGGAACUACAGGUGUAGCGGUAAAAUGCGUAAAUAUAUGGAAGAACACCAGUGGCGAAGGCGGCUUGCUGGGUCGAUACUGACAUUGAGGCACGAAAGCGUGGGGAGCAAACAGGAUUAGAUACCCCUGUAGUC